CAUAUCAAUAAGCGGAGGAACAGAAACCAACAGGGAUUGCCUCAGUAACGGCGAGUGAAGCGGCAAGAGCUCAAAUUUGGAACCCUCGGGAUUGUAAUUUGUAGACCUGGCAUUGGAGGAAGCUAACCCAAGUUACUUGGAAUAGUACGUCAUAGAGGGUGACAACCCCGUCUGGCUAACCGUCCUCCAUGUAUUGCCUCGUCAAAGAGUCGAGUUGUUUGGGAAUGCAGCUCAAAGUGGGUGGUAAACUCCAUCUAAAGCUAAAUACUGGUGAGAGACCGAUAGCGAACAAGUACAGUGAUGGAAAGAUGAAAAGGACUUUGGAAAGAGAGUGAAACAGUAUGUGAAAUUGUUGAUAGGGAAGGAUAUGAGUGGAGAGUGGCCUAGGCUUCAGCAGUCCCUCGGGGCUGUGUACUGCCGACGCCGAGUCAUUGACAGCGAGACGAGAGGGACAAACGGGUUGCACUUGUGCCUCCUACCUACCUCUCCCACUGCCGCCAACGACAUAAUCCACCCAUAUCACCCGUCUUGAAACACGGACCAAGGAGUCUAAUGGAUAUGUGAGUGUUAGGGUGGCAAACCCCAGCGCGCAAUGAAAGUGAAUGCUUCGUUCAGAAGCGACCGAACUAGAUCACUAUGACAGUUUUGAGUAAACACAUCCAUUGGGACCCGAAAGAUGGUGAACUAUGCCUGAAUAGGGUGAAGUCAGAGGAAACUCUGAUGGAGGCUCGUAGCGGUUCUGACGUGCAAAUCGAUCGUAGAAUUUGGGUAUAGGGGCGAAAGACUAAUCGAACCAUCUAGUAGCUGGUUCCUGC
Molecule: ribosomal RNA, 815 nt
Filed under: uncultured Yarrowia
Lineage: Eukaryota; Fungi; Ascomycota; Dipodascomycetes; Dipodascales; Dipodascaceae
Description: LSU rRNA
Rfam family: Eukaryotic large subunit ribosomal RNA
Source: RNAcentral